CCUACGGGAGGCAGCAGUGAGGAAUAUUGGUCAAUGGGCGCGAGCCUGAACCAGCCAAGUCGCGUGAGGGAAGACGGUCCUAUGGAUUGUAAACCUCUUUUGUCGGGGAGCAAAAGACGCCACGCGUGGCGUUCCGAGAGUACCCGAAGAAAAAGCAUCGGCUAACUCCGUGCCAGCAGCCGCGGUAAUACGGAGGAUGCGAGCGUUAUCCGGAUGUAUUGGGUUUUAAGGGUGCGCAGUCUGAAGAUCAAGGCAGCGGUAAAAUUGAGAGGCUCAACCUCUUCGAGCCGUUGAAACUGGUUGUCGUGAGUGAGUGAGAAGUAUGCGGAAUGCGUGGUGUAGCGGUGAAAUGCAUAGAUAUCACGAAGAACUCCGGUUGCGAAGGCAGCAUACCGGCGAUCAACUGACGCUCAUGCACGAAAGUGUGGGUAUCGAACAGGAUUAGAUACCCCAGUAGUC
RNAcentral lists this ribosomal RNA (459 nucleotides) under uncultured bacterium. RNAcentral describes it as "partial 16S ribosomal RNA". It matches the Rfam family "Bacterial small subunit ribosomal RNA", at positions 338 to 795 of the family's 1533-position model. The record is from RNAcentral.